GUUGGUUUUCCUGUUCGAAUUGUGUACGCUAAUAAUUUUGGGUCCUUUAUAGCCUGCUGUUUGGUCUGUAUCAAAGCCCUGUGUAAAAAAAAGGCCGUACUUUGACCUGUGUUUGUUAUUUAUAUCAGGUUGAGAACAACCCUCCCUCAGACAACAUGGACAAGGGGUCAUUUUACUGAUGUAGAAAAGAAAAUAGAAAUACCAAGGAUUUGUAUAGUUCUUCUAUACAAAACCUUUGAAAAACUUAGGAAUUUUGUACUCAAAAAGAGGAGAGUUACAUCAUAUUUUAAACAACUUUUUCUAAAAGAGGAGUCCACUUAUUUUGAAUAAUAUUAAA
RNAcentral lists this long non-coding RNA (337 nucleotides) under Mytilus galloprovincialis (Mediterranean mussel). Lineage: Eukaryota; Metazoa; Mollusca; Bivalvia; Mytilida; Mytilidae. The record is from RNAcentral.